UCUGGCGUAAUAAGUUUCGCUGGUGUCGGCUUGAGAAGUACGCUUCUAAUCGUCUUCGGACAAUUCUUGAACUCUGGUCUCAAAUCAGGUAGGGCUACCCGCUGAACUUAAGCAUAUCAAUAAGCGGAGGAAAAGAAACUAACAAGGAUUCCCUUAGUAACGGCGAGUGAACCGGGAAAAGCUCAAAUUUGUAAUCUGGCUGUCUUCGAUAGUCCGAGUUGUAAUCUAUAGACGUGUUUUCCGUGCUGGACCGUAUCUAAGUCCCUUGGAACAGGGUAUCAAAGAGGGUGACAAUCCCGUGCUUGAUACGACCACCAGUGCUCUGUGAUACACGCUCUACGAGUCGAGUUGUUUGGGAAUGCAGCUCAAAAUGGGUGGUAAAUUCCAUCUAAAGCUAAAUAUUGGCGAGAGACCGAUAGCGAACAAGUACCGUGAGGGAAAGAUGAAAAGCACUUUGGAAAGAGAGUUAAACAGUACGUGAAAUUGUUGAAAGGGAAACGAUUGAAGUCAGUCGUGUUCUUUGGAUUCAGCUAGUUCUUCUAGUCUACUUCCUUUGAACGGGUCAACAUCAGUUUUGUCCGGUGGAUAAAGAUAGUAGGAAUGUAGCUCCCUCGGGAGUGUUAUAGACUAUUAUUGCAUGCACUGGGUGAGACUGAGGACUGCAGCUCGCCUUUUGGCCG
This 680-nucleotide ribosomal RNA is filed under the name Cutaneotrichosporon moniliiforme. RNAcentral's name for it is "eukaryotic LSU rRNA". The stretch from base 75 to 680 matches the Rfam family "Eukaryotic large subunit ribosomal RNA", at positions 1 to 613 of the family's 3401-position model. The record is from RNAcentral. Lineage: Eukaryota; Fungi; Basidiomycota; Tremellomycetes; Trichosporonales; Trichosporonaceae.